AUCGAUGAAGAACGCAGCGAAAUGCGAUAAGUAAUGUGAAUUGCAGAAUUCAGUGAAUCAUCGAAUCUUUGAACGCACAUUGCGCCCUCUGGUAUUCCGGAGGGCAUGCCUGUUCGAGCGUCAUUUCACCACUCAAGCCUGGCUUGGUAUUGGGCGCCGCGGGGUUCCGCGCGCCUCAAAGUCUCCGGCUGAGCUGUCCGCCUCCUAGCGUUGUGUUCUCAUGAAUCGCUUCGGGGCGCGGGCGGCCGCGGCCGUUAAAUCCUCCACACGGUUGACCUCGGAUCAGGUAGGGAUACCCGCUGAACUUAAGCAUAUCAAUAAGCGGAGGAAAAGAAACCAACAGGGAUUGCCCUAGUAACGGCGAGUGAAGCGGCAACAGCUCAAAUUUGAAAUCUGGCGCAAGCCCGAGUUGUAAUUUGUAGAGGAUGCUUCUGGGCAGCGACCGGUCUAAGUUCCUUGGAACAGGACGUCAGAGAGGGUGAGAAUCCCGUAUGUGACCGGCCCGCGCCCUCCACGUAGCUCCUUCGACGAGUCGAGUUGUUUGGGAAUGCAGCUCUAAAUGGGAGGUAAAUUUCUUCUAAAGCUAAAUACCGGCCAGAGACCGAUAGCGCACAAGUAGAGUGAUCGAAAGAUGAAAAGUACUUUGGAAAGAGAGUUAAAAAGCACGUGAAAUUGUUGAAAGGGAAGCGCCUGCAAUCAGACUUCGCGGCAGUGUUCCGCCGGUCUUCUGACCGGUCUAUUCUCUGCCGCGAGGCCAUCAUCGUCUCGGCCCGCCGGAUAAGACCAUGGGAAUGUAGCUCACCUUCGGGGGAGUGUUAUAGCCCACGGUGAUGCGGCGCGGCGGGGGCGAGGUCCGCGCUUCGGCAAGGAUGAUGGCGUAAUGGUUGUCGGCGGCCCGUCUUGAAACACGG
This 911-nucleotide ribosomal RNA is filed under the name uncultured fungus. RNAcentral describes it as "eukaryotic LSU rRNA". The stretch from base 273 to 911 matches the Rfam family "Eukaryotic large subunit ribosomal RNA", at positions 1 to 664 of the family's 3401-position model. The record is from RNAcentral. Lineage: Eukaryota; Fungi.